This 517-nucleotide ribosomal RNA is filed under the name uncultured bacterium. Its description in RNAcentral is "bacterial SSU rRNA". It matches the Rfam family "Bacterial small subunit ribosomal RNA", at positions 1 to 512 of the family's 1533-position model. The record is from RNAcentral.
GGAUCCAGACUUUGAUCAUGGCUCAGAUUGAACGCUGGCGGCGUGCCUAACACAUGCAAGUCGAACGCGAAAGUUUCUUCGGAAAUGAGUAGAGUGGCGCACGGGUGAGUAACGCGUGGAUUAUCUACCUACUGGUACGGGACAACAGUUGGAAACGACUGCUAAUACCGUAUACGCUGGUAACGGGAAAGGGGGCCUCUUCUUGAAAGCUCUCGCCAGUAGAUGAGUCCGCGUUUCAUUAGCUAGACGGUGGGGUAACGGCCUACCGUGGCAACGAUGAAUAGCAGGCCUGAGAGGGUGGCCUGCCACACUGGGACUGGAACACGGCCCAGACUCCUACGGGAGGCAGCAGUGGGGAAUAUUGCGCAAUGGACGAAAGUCUGACGCAGCGACGCCGCGUGGAGGAUGAAGGUUUUCGGAUCGUAAACUCCUGUCAGAGGGAAGAAACCUAUCAUGAAUAAUACUCAUGGUAAUUGACGGUACCUCUAGAGGAAGCACCGGCUAAUUCAGUGCCAGC